UUAAAAUUUUAAUUUAAUAAAUAAGUGAACUAUAGAAAAUAUUUCAAGACAAAUAAUGGUUAAAGCAUGUUACUAUGGUAAUUUUUGAGCUUUAAGCUAUCAAGUGCAUUUUUUAGUUAACUAAACAUAUAUACUAACUGAAAAAGAAUGUAAUUACAUUAACAAUAUAAGCUACAACUUUUAGGAUUUCAAAAAGGAUGAUUAAAGAAAAAAGAGUAUGAGAAAAAAUGCAAAAAAAAACUUAUUUUUUGUGUUUUUUAUUUUUUAGUAAAUUGUUAUGUCAUGUCAUGUUUUCUUUUAAAAAGUAAUGGUAUUUCUUUGUAAAUUUAUUGGUGCUUUGAAAAGAAAAGAUAUAUUUUAUAAAUGAAAAAGAUACUUUUGUAAAAUUAUUUAAUUUGAAGAUAAAAAUGUAAUUG
RNAcentral lists this long non-coding RNA (416 nucleotides) under Ricinus communis (castor bean). RNAcentral describes it as "long non-coding RNA (RCOM_LNC000289)". The record is from RNAcentral. Lineage: Eukaryota; Viridiplantae; Streptophyta; Magnoliopsida; Malpighiales; Euphorbiaceae.